This 459-nucleotide ribosomal RNA is filed under the name uncultured bacterium. RNAcentral describes it as "partial 16S ribosomal RNA". It matches the Rfam family "Bacterial small subunit ribosomal RNA", at positions 338 to 795 of the family's 1533-position model. The record is from RNAcentral.
CCUACGGGUGGCAGCAGUGAGGGAUAUUGGUCAAUGGUCGGGAGACUGAACAAGCCAAGCCGCGUGGGGGAUGAAGGUACAGAGUAUCGUAAACCUCUUUUGUCAGGGAACAAAGGCGGGGACGUGUCCCCGGAUGAGUGUACCUGAAGAAAAAGCAUCGGCAAACUCCGUGCACGCAGCCGCGGUAAUACGGGGGAUGCGAGGGUUGUCCGGAUUUAUUGGGUUAAAAGGGUGCGCAGGCGGUCUGUUAAGUCCGCGGUCAAAGCCCGGGGCUCAACCCCGGCCCGCCGUUGAAACUGGCAGUCUCGAGUUGGAGAGAAGUAUGCGGAAUGCGCGGUGUAGCGGUGAAAUGCAUAGAUAUCGCGCAGAACUCCGAUUGCGAAGGCAGCAUGCCGGCUCCACACUGACGCUGAGGCACGAAAGCGUGGGUAUCGAACAGGAUUAGAUACCCGGGUAGUC